RNAcentral lists this ribosomal RNA (800 nucleotides) under uncultured bacterium. Its description in RNAcentral is "bacterial SSU rRNA". It matches the Rfam family "Bacterial small subunit ribosomal RNA", at positions 8 to 803 of the family's 1533-position model. The record is from RNAcentral.
AGAGUUUGAUCCUGGCUCAGGAUGAACGCUAGCGGCAGGCUUAACACAUGCAAGUCGAGGGGCAGCAUGUCCAGCAAUGGAUGAUGGCGACCGGCGGAAGGGUGCGUAACGCGUGAGCAACAUGCCCUAUACAGGGAGAUACACCAGGGAAACUUGGUCUAAUAUCCCAUAGCAUUCAUUGAAGGCAUCUUUAAUGAAUUAAAGCUUCGGUGGUAUAGGAUUGGCUCGCGUGACAUUAGCCAGAUGGUGAGGUAACGGCUCACCAUAGCAAUGAUGUCUAGGGGUUUUGAGAGGAAGGCCCCCCACACUGGGACUGAGACACGGCCCAGACUCCUACGGGAGGCAGCAGUGAGGAAUAUUGGACAAUGGAUGGAAAUCUGAUCCAGCCAUGCCGCGUGCAGGAAGACGGCCUUAUGGGUUGUAAACUGCUUUUAUACGGGAGCAAUAAGGGUUACGAGUAAUCCGAUGAGAGUACUGUAUGAAUAAGGAUCGGCUAACUCCGUGCCAGCAGCCGCGGUAAUACGGAGGAUCCGAGCGUUAUCCGGAAUUAUUGGGUUUAAAGGGAGCGUAGGCGGGGGGUCAAGUCAGCUAUGAAAUACGUACGCUUAACGUUCGUCUUGCAGUUGAAACUGGUUUUCUUGAGUGCGUAUGAGGCAGGCGGAAUUCGUGGUGUAGCGGUGAAAUGCUUAGAUAUCACGAGGAACUCCUAUUGCGAAGGCAGCUUGCUGGUCCGCUACUGACGCUGAUGCUCGAAGGUGCGGGCAUCGAACAGGAUUAGAUACCCUGGUAGUCCGCACAGU